Molecule: ribosomal RNA, 465 nt
Filed under: Vreelandella stevensii
Lineage: Bacteria; Pseudomonadati; Pseudomonadota; Gammaproteobacteria; Oceanospirillales; Halomonadaceae
Description: partial 16S ribosomal RNA
Rfam family: Bacterial small subunit ribosomal RNA
Source: RNAcentral
CCUACGGGUGGCAGCAGUGGGGAAUAUUGGACAAUGGGCGAAAGCCUGAUCCAGCCAUGCCGCGUGUGUGAAGUAGGCCUUCGGGUUGUAAAGCACUUUCAGUGGGGAAGAAAGCCUUGGGGCUAAUACCCUCGAGGAAGGACAUCACCCACAGAAGAAGCACCGGCUAACUCCGUGCCAGCAGCCGCGGUAAUACGGAGGGUGCGAGCGUUAAUCGGAAUUACUGGGCGUAAAGCGCGCGUAGGCGGUCUGAUAAGCCGGUUGUGAAAUCCCCGGGCUCAACCUGGGAACGGCAUCCGGAACUGUCAGGCUAGAGUGCAGGAGAGGAAGGUAGAAUUCCCGGUGUAGCGGUGAAAUGCGUAGAGAUCGGGAGGAAUACCAGUGGCGAAGGCGGCCUUCUGGACUGACACUGACGCUGAGGUGCGAAAGCGUGGGUAGCAAACAGGAUUAGAUACCCCUGUAGUC